GCCUGGGUGGCUUAGUUGGUUGAGCGUCCAGCUCUUGAUUUCAGCUCAGGUUAUGAUCUCGCGGUUUGUGGGUUCAAGCCCCACAUCGGGCU
This 92-nucleotide transfer RNA is filed under the name Felis catus (domestic cat). It matches the Rfam family "tRNA". Rfam says of the family: Transfer RNA (tRNA) molecules are approximately 80 nucleotides in length. The record is from Rfam by way of RNAcentral. Lineage: Eukaryota; Metazoa; Chordata; Mammalia; Carnivora; Felidae.